Molecule: long non-coding RNA, 1262 nt
Filed under: Cyanistes caeruleus (blue tit)
Lineage: Eukaryota; Metazoa; Chordata; Aves; Passeriformes; Paridae
Description: lncRNA (ENSCCEG00000010255.1)
Source: RNAcentral
GUGGUCUGAGGGGUCCUGGGCGUGAGGGGAUCGGUGGGGAGAGGUCGUUGGUCAGGUGGGCUCUUGUGAGAAGGGGGUUAGCCGGCUGUGAGGGCUUGUAUGAGGAGGAACCUUUGGUGUGAGGAGCUCUUGGGGAGGGCUCAUUGGUGUGAGGAGAGAGUAACCAGCUGUGACGAGUUUUGCCAGGAGGGGUUUUGGCAUGGGGGGCGGUUUUAGGGGACAGGUGAGGGGUUGCUGAGGGACAGGAGAACAAGAGAGAGCUGGCAUGAGGGGGUGCUGAGGGGAGUUUGGGAAAGAGGUUCUGUGGAAACCCCAUGUGGGACACUGAGGGCAGAGAGGGGCCUGAGGGAGAAGAUGGUGAGGAGCUGUUGCUGAGACCAUUUGAGCUCGGCCACAGUUUUGGGAGGCAGCAGGCCUGAGAAAAGGUGUGGGGGAAUAGAGAGAUGGGGGCCUCAGCAAUGGGGUACAUGUGGCCUGGACAUGGGUAGGGAGAAGAGGGGUAGGGGAGAGGCCUGGCAUAGGUGGCAGGGGACAGUGGGUUUGGGGCAGGCUGGCUGGAGGACAUGGAGCCGAGUGGAGCUGCCUGUGGCCAGGAGCAGCUCAGCUACAGGCAGUGACAAUCCCAGAAGGUGGUAGGUGACUGCUCUAGUGCAAGUGCCCUCACCGAAUGGGUGUAUUUCAGCCUGCCCUUGGCCAAGCUGUAUCUAGGUUGUGGCCAGAAGAAGGGAAAAAAAUCUCAUGGGCUGAGCACAUGGUCUCCUAAACUGUACUCUUGGCUCUCAGUGGUGGGGUGUUGAACUUGAUUACAGCUGGAGGAAUUCUAAACAGUCCACUUCUCCUUGUCAUGGUGUUUGGGCGCAUUGUGCUCGGGUCUGAACAGAGGAAAUCACUGAGACAGGCAGAGCUACUGGGGACUGUUUAACCUGGGAUGGGGGACGCCUGAGGAAUGUUACUGGCCGUGACAAUUGUGGACCACAUCUAGAGUUUUGUGAACAUGUCCCAAAGUGGCCUGAUACUUUGCUUUUUCAAAUCCCAAUAGGAAAAGUGAGACAAAUGUGGAUCACUUCAAACAUAUGUUGUUGUGGGUAUUGGGAGAGGCAAACUAAAGGUUUAUCUGAUGAUCUCAACCUUGAAGUUGGCAGCUAUGACAGGAAACUUGGUUUCAUUCAUCUGCCAAAGAUAUUUGUAGUGUAUCAUUUGACAAGUUAAAAGGCAUUUUUGUAAUGACACAAAAAUAAAAUCAUCCACUUUCUGAAACUACA